CAGAAUCAACGCUGGCGGCGUGCCUAACACAUGCAAGUCGAACGCGAAAGUCCCGCAAGGGGCAAGUAGAGUGGCAAACGGGUGAGUAACGCGUGGGUGACCUGCCUUCGAGUGGGGGAUAACGUCCCGAAAGGGACGCUAAUACCGCAUGACAUCCUGUCUUUAGACAGACGGAGAUCAAAG
Molecule: ribosomal RNA, 183 nt
Filed under: uncultured soil bacterium
Lineage: Bacteria
Description: partial 16S ribosomal RNA
Rfam family: Bacterial small subunit ribosomal RNA
Source: RNAcentral